This is a non-coding RNA of Motacilla alba alba, 582 nucleotides long. The record is from the annotation of a RefSeq genome assembly. Lineage: Eukaryota; Metazoa; Chordata; Aves; Passeriformes; Motacillidae.
ACCCCUCGGGCCAACCAACCCCGGCACAUCCCGGCCAUGGCCACCAACCCCCUCCCUGCGCUGGCCCUGCUGGCCCUGCUGGCGCUCCCAGGGCUCCGGGCGGCCGUGACCCUGCUGGAGUCCGGGGGGGACCUCCAGCCCCCCGGGGGUUCCCUGCGCCUCCUCUGCCGAGCGUCUGGGUUCGAUUUCGGCAGUCACACCAUGUUCUGGAUCCGCCAGAGGCCCGGGCGGGCGCUGGAGUUCGUGGCCGCCAUCGAGGGCAGCGGUGGCGACAGCAGAUACGCGCCGUCGGUCGAGGGGCGGUUCACGAUCUCCAGGGACAACGGGCAGAGCUCGGUGACGCUGACCAUGAGCAGCCUCAAGGACGAGGAUUCCGGAUCCUAUUUCUGCGCCCGGCGUUUCACCGGGGGCUGGUACAUCAAUGCUGCCUCUGUUGGCGCCGGGUGUGGUGGCGAUGCCGGGCCAGGUCACAAACCCCACCCGCAGCGUCCCCAGCUGGGCCAGGAGGGCGAUGGGGAGACCCCCAGGGGGUCCUCGCUCCUCCGGGUGGGAUUUUGGGAAUUUUGACACGAGCUGGGCGCG